GAUGAACGCUGGCGGCGUGCCUAAUACAUGCAAGUCGAGCGAACGGACGAGAAGCUUGCUUCUCUGAUGUUAGCGGCGGACGGGUGAGUAACACGUGGAUAACCUACCUAUAAGACUGGGAUAACUUCGGGAAACCGGAGCUAAUACCGGAUAAUAUUUUGAACCGCAUGGUUCAAAAGUGAAAGACGGUCUUGCUGUCACUUAUAGAUGGAUCCGCGCUGCAUUAGCUAGUUGGUAAGGUAACGGCUUACCAAGGCAACGAUGCAUAGCCGACCUGAGAGGGUGAUCGGCCACACUGGAACUGAGACACGGUCCAGACUCCUACGGGAGGCAGCAGUAGGGAAUCUUCCGCAAUGGGCGAAAGCCUGACGGAGCAACGCCGCGUGAGUGAUGAAGGUCUUCGGAUCGUAAAACUCUGCUAUUAGGGAAGAACAUAUGUGUAAGUAACUGUGCACAUCUUGACGGUACCUAAUCAGAAAGCCACGGCUAACUACGUGCCAGCAGCCGCGGUAAUACGUAGGUGGCAAGCGUUAUCCGGAAUUAUUGGGCGUAAAGCGCGCGUAGGCGGUUUUUUAAGUCUGAUGUGAAAGCCCACGGCUCAACCGUGGAGGGUCAUUGGAAACUGGAAAACUUGAGUGCAGAAGAGGAAAGUGGAAUUCCAUGUGUAGCGGUGAAAUGCGCAGAGAUAUGGAGGAACACCAGUGGCGAAGGCGACUUUCUGGUCUGUAACUGACGCUGAUGUGCGAAAGCGUGGGGAUCAAACAGGAUUAGAUACCCUGGUAGUCCACGCCGUAAACGAUGAGUGCUAAGUGUUAGGGGGUUUCCGCCCCUUAGUGCUGCAGCUAACGCAUUAAGCACUCCGCCUGGGGAGUACGACCGCAAGGUUGAAACUCAAAGGAAUUGACGGGGACCCGCACAAGCGGUGGAGCAUGUGGUUUAAUUCGAAGCAACGCGAAGAACCUUACCAAAUCUUGACAUCCUUUGACAACUCUAGAGAUAGAGCCUUCCCCUUCGGGGGACAAAGUGACAGGUGGUGCAUGGUUGUCGUCAGCUCGUGUCGUGAGAUGUUGGGUUAAGUCCCGCAACGAGCGCAACCCUUAAGCUUAGUUGCCAUCAUUAAGUUGGGCACUCUAAGUUGACUGCCGGUGACAAACCGGAGGAAGGUGGGGAUGACGUCAAAUCAUCAUGCCCCUUAUGAUUUGGGCUACACACGUGCUACAAUGGACAAUACAAAGGGCAGCGAAACCGCGAGGUCAAGCAAAUCCCAUAAAGUUGUUCUCAGUUCGGAUUGUAGUCUGCAACUCGACUACAUGAAGCUGGAAUCGCUAGUAAUCGUAGAUCAGCAUGCUACGGUGAAUACGUUCCCGGGUCU
Molecule: ribosomal RNA, 1372 nt
Filed under: uncultured bacterium
Lineage: Bacteria
Description: bacterial SSU rRNA
Rfam family: Bacterial small subunit ribosomal RNA
Source: RNAcentral